UGGGGAAUAUUGCACAAUGGGCGCAAGCCUGAUGCAGCCAUGCCGCGUGUAUGAAGAAGGCCUUCGGGUUGUAAAGUACUUUCAGUCGGGAGGAAGGUGUCAAGGUUAAUAACCUUGGCAAUUGACGUUACCGACAGAAGAAGCACCGGCUAACUCCGUGCCAGCAGUCGCGGUAAUACGGAGGGUGCAAGCGUUAAUCGGAAUUACUGGGCGUAAAGCGCACGCAGGCGGUUGAUUGAGUCAGAUGUGAAAUCCCCGGGCUUAACCCGGGAAUUGCAUCUGAUACUGGUCAGCUAGAGUCUUGUAGAGGGGGGUAGAAUUCCAUGUGGAGCGGUGAAAUGCGUAGAGAUGUGGAGGAAUACCGGUGGCGAAGGCGGCCCCCUGGACAAAGACUGACGCUCAGGUGCGAAAGCGUGGGGAGCAAACAGG
RNAcentral lists this ribosomal RNA (429 nucleotides) under Chloroflexota bacterium. Its description in RNAcentral is "Chloroflexi bacterium partial 16S ribosomal RNA". It matches the Rfam family "Bacterial small subunit ribosomal RNA", at positions 355 to 776 of the family's 1533-position model. The record is from RNAcentral. Lineage: Bacteria; Bacillati; Chloroflexota.